CUUCCGCUUCCGGUGCGCCGUUUGCGAGGGGAAGCGCUUCUCUAGGCAGUUCGGUGAAGGGCUCUACUGUCCGUUCCCGGGUGUCCCGGGUGUCUCAGCUCGGUCUUGGAGACGCACCCUGGGCAGGAUACUGUCUGGCUGGCACCCCAGGAACAAUAAAUGGCUGCAGGAAUCUCCCCAAAUCUCGGGCCAGUCCGGGACGGGGACCCGUGAGUUCUCCACGAUCUGAGACGGCCACCGGUCACCUUCUGCCUGAGAAUCCACUGGUCUGCUCUUAAUGAGAGGGUUCCGGGCUUAAAGGUCAUCCCGCUUGCACUCGCUACCCCUCUAGCCAUGAAGAUCCCUGUGUACAGCGCAACUCACGGUCAUAGGCAUAGCCAACCCUGCGACAGCCUCCUAGCCCUGAGGACAGCCGUCCUCGUAAAAAAUAGUUCCUGUGUUUUAGUACCAAGCUUUCCAUCCAGCUCAUGAAUACCGUCAUUAUGCUCAAGGACAUUUCUCUAAGACGUGUUUUCCUCUCCCACGGUCUCCUUCCUGGCCCAGGGAGGGGAGGUGUCACAGCUUGGUCACUUGGCCAGAUUAUCUGACUGGGGCUGAGGCAUGAAGCUGCCAGUGAGGAUGUUCUGGGUACGAGUUCGGAUCCUGACAGCUGGAGAUGCUGGUCAGAGAGGCUGAUAGAUGUCCAUACUAUAGAUGUCCCUAGUCCAUCGUACUCACCUUCCUGCCUCACCUUUGCAUUCCUGGGAUGCUCAAGUUUGUUCUUAGGUUUGUUACACACAUCCCAUGUUCUUGACCCAGCACCUUCCCAUUCCAUUUGCCUAUGAACUCAGUGUGUGUAGGUUCCAGGAAACCAAGCUGGAUAUGACAAGUGUUGGGACUCCACCUUGCAGGGCAAGGAAGGGCUGGGAUCUGGAGAAAAGGACCCGGAUGGUCUCACAUCCUCUUUGGUCACUUGAGAAGCAGCUGAAAACUGGACUAAGUGUCCAGUCCUUGGGGUGUCCUCAAGCUGUUCCGGGGAUGCAAGUUUGGGGUGCGAAGAAGAAGCAGUCAUUGGCAGUGCCUGACCAACCAGAUAUGUAGGGCAGAACUGCUGUUCAACUUUAAGGUCUUGUCCUUCACCAUGACCCUGACUGCUUCUGGGCAUCAGCAGUGGGCUCACUGAUUAUUGACAGUUGGUGGCUGAGAUUCAGCACCAUGAAUCCAGCAGUGGCCAUUGAUUCAUAGGGCAGGUGGUAGAUGAGUCCACCCACCUGAGUUGUGAUCUGGGUUGCUGCAGCUCUGGGGAGUGUCCUGUUGGUCAGCCCACUGUGGCAAGUUAGCUUUGGGAGAUCAGCGGCUUCUCCCACUGUCAUACUCAGAAAACGCAUCAGCAAAGACUGUGCCUCUUCCUUCCCCAAGAUUCUGUGGUCCCUAAUCAAGAAAAUGAGAGGUUGUGGAUUCAUUCUGAGUUAAGAAAAAUCCAGUA
Non-coding RNA from Myodes glareolus (Bank vole), 1465 nucleotides. Lineage: Eukaryota; Metazoa; Chordata; Mammalia; Rodentia; Cricetidae. The record is from RefSeq and is a predicted model, not a curated record.